This 253-nucleotide ribosomal RNA is filed under the name uncultured bacterium. RNAcentral's name for it is "partial 16S ribosomal RNA". It matches the Rfam family "Bacterial small subunit ribosomal RNA", at positions 524 to 776 of the family's 1533-position model. The record is from RNAcentral.
UACGUAGGGAGCAAGCGUUAUCCGGAUUUAUUGGGUGUAAAGGGUGCGUAGACGGGAUUACAAGUUGGUCGUGAAACCCCUCAGCUCAACUGAGGAACUGCAACCAAAACUAUAAUUCUUGAGUGCAGGAGAGGAAAGUGGAAUUCCUAGUGUAGCGGUGAAAUGCGUAGAUAUUAGGAAGAACACCGGUGGCGAAGGCGACUUUCUGGACUGUAACUGACGUUGAGGCACGAAAGUGUGGGGAGCAAACAGG